AAAGCUAAGGGAGCGAAUGAGAUUAGAUACCCCAGUAGUCCUAGCCGUAAACGAUGGAUAUUAGGCGCUAUGCGUAUUGACCCGUGCAAUGUUGUAGCUAACGCGUUAAAGUAUCC
Molecule: non-coding RNA, 116 nt
Organism: Glycine max (soybean)
Lineage: Eukaryota; Viridiplantae; Streptophyta; Magnoliopsida; Fabales; Fabaceae
Source: Rfam